CGCACCUUGCGCUCUUUGGUAUUCCGAAGAGCAUGCCUGUUUGAGUGUCAUGUAGACUCACCCCUAAUGGUUUUUCUAUUAGAUGGUGGAUUGGGCGUCUGCCUCGGUUAACCCCUUGGCUCGCCUUAAAUGCAUUAGUAGGCCUUUGGAUGUAAUAAGUUUCAUCUGUGGCUGGCUUAUAACCCCCAUUACUUUUACACUCUGACCUCAAAUCAGGUAGGACUACCCGCUGAACUUAA
RNAcentral lists this unclassified non-coding RNA (239 nucleotides) under Hyphoderma subsetigerum. Its description in RNAcentral is "partial contains 5.8S ribosomal RNA, internal transcribed spacer 2, and large subunit ribosomal RNA". The record is from RNAcentral. Lineage: Eukaryota; Fungi; Basidiomycota; Agaricomycetes; Polyporales; Hyphodermataceae.